AAUAAUAAAAUAAAAUUUGAGGAAUUUAAUUAUCCAAAAUUGAAAAGAAAGCAAAGAAAUUAAUGGUCAAUUCAGGCCAAGGACUAUUCUUUUAAAGAUAUCUAAACUUAGAAAUUAAAUUAUUUUUAAUAAAAAAAUAUAGGGAUUGAGCUGUGAUUUUUAUUAAUUUAUAAUUUACCUUUUUUCAUAUUUAUUACUUUUCCUUUUUAAGUGGAAAUAUGUAUUAUAUGCUUCUGGAAAUGUGAUAAAAAUUUCUAGUCAGUUAAUAGUUCUAUGUAUAUUCUUAUUGAAAAUCAAUUAUAUUUAAUUGGUAUAAAAUUAACAUGACCACUGCAAAUGUAUUUUAUUUAAUAUGUUAUUUAUAAUUUUAGACUUAUGUUUAUGAGAUUUUUUAAUGCAAACAAAAAUGUCUUUGUAUUUUUAAAAUAUUUUAUUUUUCCCUAAUCUGACUUGGUCUAAUGGCCAAAAACAUAUCAGCUGAAUGUUAAUUUAAGUUUUUACUCUCAUAAUUU
This 512-nucleotide unclassified non-coding RNA is filed under the name Hevea brasiliensis (rubber tree). Lineage: Eukaryota; Viridiplantae; Streptophyta; Magnoliopsida; Malpighiales; Euphorbiaceae. The record is from RNAcentral.